UCAAACGGCGCAGACUGUAGCACGAGUGUUGGUUGAGCAUUGGUUUCAUUUGUUUGGGUUACCGAGGCAAAUUCAUUCCGAUCAGGGCCGAUGCUUUGAGAGUAAAAUUAUUCAAGAAUUGUGCAGAAUCUAUGGCAUUGUUAAAACUCGUACAACACCAUAUAGGCCUCAAGGCAAUGGUCAAUGUGAGAGAUUUAAUAGAACGAUGCAUGAUUUAUUGCGAACACUUCCUGUUGAAAAGAAAUAUCAUUGGCCAGAGUUUCUUUCACAAGUGGUGUUUGCUUACAACACUACAGAGCAUCAGUCUACAGGCUAUUCUCCUUAUGUUCUUAUGUUUGGGGAGGAACCCCAGCUACCAAUUGAUUUUAUUUUAGGCCAAGAUAAUCUGGAGCCUAGUGGAGAACCAUGGAUAGUUCAACAUAGAGAGAAUGUGGAACAAAUAUUCAACAGCGCUAGGGCCCGCUUGAAAGCCGCAGCAGCUCAACGUGCUCGAUCAAAUAAUGAGAAGGUGCAUCAUGACUCUUUGCAAGAGGGUCAGUUAGUGUAUCGAAGGUCCCAUAAGGUUAGAGGGAGAAAUAAGAUUCAGGAUGUGUGGGAUCCAACACUUUAUAGGGUUGUUCAGGGUUCAGAUGGUCCAGUGUAUUCUGUAUGUCCAGCUGAUGGUACUGGUUCAGUUAAAAGAAUACAUCGAUGUGAGUUGCGUCCUGUUCCUAGUUCUUGUGAUCCAGGGCUACCUCUGAAUAUGAGAGAUGAAGAACUUGAUUCAAACACAGAGUCUGUAUUGAUUAUAUCCGAGUCAAUGGAUGAGGUAGGGUUGCAGGACGAAAGUGUAGAAAGUUCUUUAUCUAGAUCUCCAAGUGUUGUAUUACCACCUCCAGAGUGUAAUCGUGGAUUAAGACGUACCCAGAGAUCUACUGCAGGAUGUCAUCGGAACCCAUAUCAUCUUCCCCAGUCUGUUUGUACUAAUGAUCAAAGAGCUCUCCCUGUGACAAGGCCAUCCAACAAUCCCCAAAGUUGUUUGUUUAGACCAUGGGUGUGAAACCUAGGUUUAUCGACGGGACGUCGUUUUCUUUUGAGGGGGUGGAUUGUAACGGGGUGAUAUGAGUUCGAGACUGCAUUUCCCAUAAGGCUAUGCAGUAGCGUAAUGUUUACGUCAGCACGCACUAUAAAUAGACGCACGGUAGCAUAGCGUGUCCUCCUCUUUCAUUCAUUGAUUCUGCCAACAAGCAAACAUUAUUAUAAGGUACUAUAAAUAGACUCAUAGUAGUGUGGAUUGCUUUCACCUCAUUUGUCGGGUCUACAAACAAGCUUGUCGAUCUUCAGAAAACCGUGCGUGUUAAUGGUGAUUGGCCUGACGACAGAGUCUUCAAAGAGUAUGAGUGAUGUAUGAGCGAAAUGCUUGUUAGAGUUUUCAUCCUUUCUGACUCUCGGCAGCACAGGGGCUUCCCUUGUGGGUGCGACUGGCACUGGUGCGGUGGUGGGAUAUUCUUGUGACGUGGCACCUUUUAUUGUGUGCUGUGAUUGCUGUGUUGAAGUGGGGUUGCAUUGCAGUGGUUGUAUAUCCUUCACAAUUCCAGUGGUGCCUUUUAAGGAGCCCUGUGAUUUUGUCAUGAGAGUAUAAAUAUUUUUCUACAUCAUGAGGUUUGCCAUAGUAUUUUAAAUAUUUUAUCAUGUUAUGUGGAAUUAGAAGUUUUGUAUUAUAAAUAAAACUGCUUGUAAAAGUGAUCAUUGCUAUUACCGUCUGUGGCAUUUAACUUAUAUAUUUAAAUACCGGCCAGGUCAGGUUG
This is a long non-coding RNA of Paramisgurnus dabryanus, 1787 nucleotides long. RefSeq lists it as uncharacterized. The record is from RefSeq and is a predicted model, not a curated record. NCBI's taxonomy places the organism in Eukaryota, Metazoa, Chordata, Actinopteri, Cypriniformes, Cobitidae.